CCUACGGGCGGCAGCAGUGGGGGAUAUUGCGCAAUGGGGGAAACCCUGACGCAGCAACGCCGCGUGAAGGAAGAAGGCCUUCGGGUCGUAAACUUUUGUCUUCUGGGACGAAACAUGACGGUACCAGAGGAGGAAGCCACGGCUAACUACGUGCCAGCAGCCGCGGUAAGACGUAGGGGGCGAGCGUUGUCCGGAAUUACUGGGCGUAAAGAGCACGUAGGCGGGUGUUUAAGUCAGGUGCGAAAGACCGCAGCCUAACUGCGGGGUUGCACUUGAAACUGAAUAUCUUGAGGGCAGGAGAGGUCAGUGGAAUUCCUGGUGUAGCGGUGAAAUGCGUAGAAAUCAGGAGGAACACCAGUGGCGAAGGCGACUGACUGGACUGACCCUGACGCUGAGGUGCGAAAGCGUGGGUAGCAAACAGGAUUAGAUACCCGUGUAG
This 439-nucleotide ribosomal RNA is filed under the name uncultured bacterium. RNAcentral's name for it is "bacterial SSU rRNA". It matches the Rfam family "Bacterial small subunit ribosomal RNA", at positions 338 to 793 of the family's 1533-position model. The record is from RNAcentral.